GAUGAACGCUGGCGGCGUGCCUAAUACAUGCAAGUCGAGCGAACAGAUAAGGAGCUUGCUCCUUUGACGUUAGAGGCGGACGGGUGAGUAAAACGUGGGUAACCUACCUAUAAGACUGGGAUAAAUUCGGGAAACCGGAGCUAAUACCGGAUAACAUUUGGAACCGCAUGGUUCUAAAGUGAAAGAUGGUUUUGCUAUCACUUAUAGAUGGACCCGCGCCGUAUUAGCUAGUUGGUAAGGUAACGGCUUACCAAGGCAACGAUACGUAGCCGACCUGAGAGGGUGAUCGGCCACACUGGAACUGAGACACGGUCCAGACUCCUACGGGAGGCAGCAGUAGGGAAUCUUCCGCAAUGGGCGAAAGCCUGACGGAGCAACGCCGCGUGAAUGAUGAAGGGUUUCGGCUCGUAAAACUCUGUUAUUAGGGAAGAACAAACGUGUAAGUAACUGUGCACGUCUUGACGGUACCUAAUCAGAAAGCCACGGCUAACUACGUG
Molecule: ribosomal RNA, 497 nt
Filed under: uncultured bacterium
Lineage: Bacteria
Description: partial 16S ribosomal RNA
Rfam family: Bacterial small subunit ribosomal RNA
Source: RNAcentral